Sorex araneus (European shrew) is the source of this 140-nucleotide non-coding RNA. RefSeq annotates it as small Cajal body-specific RNA 11. NCBI's taxonomy places the organism in Eukaryota, Metazoa, Chordata, Mammalia, Eulipotyphla, Soricidae. The record is from RefSeq and is a predicted model, not a curated record. The transcript has a single exon.
UUUUCCAGUUCUUUUUGCUUUUCUUGUCUGGUAUGUGUAGUUCUAACAGUGGUUCUUGACCGGCCACACAGAAAUUUCUCUGUUCACUUAGAAAGGCCAUCCUGAGCAUAGGGCUGGUUCUGAAAACACCAGAAGACAAU